This is a non-coding RNA of Poecilia latipinna (sailfin molly), 356 nucleotides long. Lineage: Eukaryota; Metazoa; Chordata; Actinopteri; Cyprinodontiformes; Poeciliidae. The record is from the annotation of a RefSeq genome assembly.
CCAUGUUCUCUGUCACUCUGAUGCUGCUGCUGUUAGCAGCUGGAUCAGGAGUUCGGUCUGAGACUCUGAGACAGUCAGCCUCUGUGUCUGUGCUGCCUGGUGAACGACUGCAGAUCACCUGUCAGGUCUCUUAUUCUGUUAGAACAUAUGUAACAGCCUGGAUCAGACAGCCUGCAGGAAAAGGACUGGAGUGGAUUGGUUACAUGUGCUCUGGAUGCACAGGAGCUCGCAAAGAUUCUUUAAAGAGCAAGUUCACUAUUACAGUACAAGAGUCCAGUAACACAGUGACUCUGAAUGGAGAGAAUCUGCAGCCUGAAGACUCUGCUGUGUAUUACUGUGCCAGAGAGUCACAGUGA